UGCGCAGAUCAAAAAGCAUAUCAGUGUAACUUCAGACGCACCAUUCCGGUCGGUUCUAGCAGUCAGGAGCAAAGGGAAUAAAGCAGACGAGCAAACGAUGCCGGCAGCAGAUCUGAAUAUAGGGAAGCUCCACCUUGUGCUGGAGAUGUACAAAAUGGCCAGCAAUCCCGAGAACGACAGCAUGCAUUGGAGUGCGGACGGCAGUCUGCUAAUCGUGAACCUGCCGGCACUGGCCCUCCAUCUGGUACCGAUGGUUGACGAAGGGAAUCCGCUCAUCUGGUUCCUGGGGCUGAUGACCGGGGCCGGCUUCAUGCAGUGCCCGCUGGAGACGGUCGACGAGGCGGAGUACAACACGCCGCCGGAAAUGACGCUCAUCUUCUGGCAUCCUCAGUUCCACCGCAAUAAUCCCUGGUUUAACUACACCUGGAUCAGCGUGCACGAUGAGACCCCGCAGCGUGGUGAGUGGGUUGGGAGUGGGCGCAGUGUGUGAGUUUGUAGAACUGAUGUGUGUGUGUGUAUGUGUGUGUGUGUUUUCUUUUCAAUCAUUUUCCUCACCAAUGAUACCAGAGGAGGAGUAGCCUCACCAAGGAUGCCGGACAAUGUGGAGUAGCCGGGGCGCCGGAUCCUGCAAGACGUAAGAGCAAUCGAACGGUCUGAUUCGAACGAACAACAGAGAGAUGGAGACCGAAGACGAAAGGAUUUAGCGACCGGCGCAGAUGUUAAGAAAUUCGGCACUCGAGACACUCCAGCAACAGUUACACCGGCUUUCCGAUGGGCGUACUGUAGUUUGGUGUAAGUCUACAGUUAUUAGACCAUAGUUUAUUGAUUGAAAACCCCAACUUUGAAGACGACAGAAAAAACACAGAGAGAGAGAGAGAGAGAGAGAGAGAGAGAAAGAGAGAGAGGGCCAGAAAAGAAGUAGACAUAGAUUAGGCGAGAGCAAACGCUAUCGGAAGUAAACACAUUCUGGGUGAUGGAACGGAUGGAAGGAUUCACGUUUCGCUAGCGAUCACAUGGGGGAUGCGCCAGGCCGGAUAUGAAGGGCACGCGAAUAGCGAAAAAAAGGGGGGGAACACCAUCAACUUAUCUGUAAGCUCUGUCAGCAACUCUACUACCAAUAAAACGGCUACCGGCUGAAGAAUAGCGCGCGAUGUAUGUAUUCUUCCAGCCACUUUCUCCAUCCUUUCGGCUUGAAAUGCUUCGAGUGAUAUCGGUCAUACAUCUAGCUCCCUAGAUGGAGAUGCUGCGCAUUGCAGCGAAAUCUAAGAAUCGUUUUUUUUUCCAACGAACGAGGCGUGUGCUCGGUACGGUUGAUUCUAAGUAAUGUUCGGCAACAAGCAGUUAAGUUUUUAUCGAAUAUAAGGAAAUGUCAGUGUGAAAUUUCAAGAAGCCGUAUCCGUUUUGUUUUGUUUUUUAUUUUUUAUUUUGCCUCGCGCAACAACGCUCCCGCGAGAUCGACCAUUCCAAACAUUUUUGGAGCAUAUGCUGAGGAACAAUGUUACUAUCGAAUUUGCAAAACAAGCAGCGGGUAGAAAAUUUGCCUGAACGUCAAUAGUGUCGCGUUUCGCAACAUCCCAUCGCAGCAUCCAUUGUACUGGCGCGAUUCCGCGACCACGUUGCCCUAGUAACCGAGAGCGAGACAGCCGCCGCAGGUAAAAUAAAGCAAACUCAGUCGGCGGCGCGUGCGUUCCAGUCAGUUUGCAGAUUUCUGCGUGGUCAGAUCAAAACACCAUAUCACACCGUGUCAGACGCACCAUUCCGCUUAUGGUUCUAGCAUUCCGGAAAUAAAGCAGACGCUGAAAGCGAUGGCUGCCUGUGAAAUAAACGUCGCAAGGCUCCACUUUUUGCUGGAAGUGUUCGAAAUAGCCAACAAUCCCGAGAACGAUGGUUUGAAGUGGAGUGUGGACGGAAGAUGGCUAAUCGCGAACCUGCCGGCACUGGCCCUGUAUUUGCAGUCGACCAUCGACAACCCCGAACCGCUCGUCUGGUUUCUGCAGCACCUGACCGGGGCCGGCUUCGUGCUGUGCCCGCAGCAUUUGGUCGACGAGGCGGAGUACAACGCACCGGCGGACGAUACGAUCAUUUUCUGGCAUCCGCGCUUCCACCGCAAUCAUUCCUGGUUCAACUACCAAUGGAACAGCGAGCACACCCCGCAGCAAGACAACGAGGAGUAGCCUAACCAAUGGAACUGGACAACGUGGAGUACCCGGUACGGCAGGGCGCCGAUCCUGCUAGACGUAAGACCAAUCGAAGGAAGAACAGAAAGACGCAGGAUGAAGACGAAAGGAUUCGUGACCGGCACACCGUGCGCGCCGCCGUU
This is an RNA transcript of Anopheles coluzzii, 2320 nucleotides long. RefSeq lists it as uncharacterized. The record is from RefSeq and is a predicted model, not a curated record. Lineage: Eukaryota; Metazoa; Arthropoda; Insecta; Diptera; Culicidae. The transcript has 2 exons.